ACUUGCUUGGAAUACCGAAACGGCAAGAUCCCCUGCCUGCAUGACGCGUCCCUGUCUCUCUCUAUUAAUGGUGUAUGAUUCAAUUUCUUUCUCAUUCUCACUCUCCUUCUAACACACUGAAACUGCAAGGCUGAUACGCUAACCCUAGACGGCUAGACGUGUUUUCAAAAGGCUACAACCCUCAUUUUUCGGAGAUUUUGAGAAAAAAAUGGACCGGUUCUCUGCUCUGCCGAAAAUUAUACUUCAUGACAUUCUUGUAAGGCUGCCAGACAAAGAUGCUGCCAAGACUAGUGUUUUGUCAAAGGCGUGGAAUGACACAUGGUUUUCAUUUCCCAAUCUAUCUGUUUGCAGCGAGGAUUU
This is a non-coding RNA of Arachis ipaensis, 360 nucleotides long. The record is from RefSeq and is a predicted model, not a curated record. Lineage: Eukaryota; Viridiplantae; Streptophyta; Magnoliopsida; Fabales; Fabaceae.